Molecule: non-coding RNA, 26 nt
Filed under: Homo sapiens (human)
Lineage: Eukaryota; Metazoa; Chordata; Mammalia; Primates; Hominidae
Source: RNAcentral
AGAGUUGUUCUCAGCCCAGUGGAGCA